This is a long non-coding RNA of Pseudopipra pipra, 1391 nucleotides long. RefSeq lists it as uncharacterized. The transcript is spliced from 4 exons. The record is from RefSeq and is a predicted model, not a curated record. Lineage: Eukaryota; Metazoa; Chordata; Aves; Passeriformes; Pipridae.
UCCUUAAUGGUGGCCUUCAAGGUUUGGUAGCAAAGACUCCAAGAUCAGCUCUAACCCAUCCCUACAUUGUUCAGCGACAAUGAUCCUAGUGGUGAAGGCAGCGAAAAUGCUACUUAAAAUUGGAGAGGUGGUGCUGCAUUGGUCCUCUUGUUGUACGAAAGGAAUCGCUGGAGCUUUGGGGACAAGAAGUGCCAACGGCCACGACAACUGUACACAGGCAACAGUAUCGGAGGAACCGAGAUGCUGUGACCCCCAUCCAUCCAUCCAGUACAUCCAUGACAUCAUUGUGUGGGGGGACACAGCAGAAGAAGUUUUCGAGAAAGGACAGAAGAUCAUCCAGAUUCUCCUCGAGGCCGGUUUUGCCAUCAAGAAGAGUAAGGUCAAGGGCCCUGCCCAAGAGAUCCAGUUCCUAGGGCUGAAAUGGCAAAUGGACGACACCAGAUACCAACAGACGUCCUCAACAAGAUUGUAGCAAUGGCUCCACCCACAAACAAGAAAGAAACCCAAGCUUUUCUGGGAGCCAUUGGCUUCUGGAGGAUGCACAUCCCAGAGUACAGCCAGAUGGUGAGCCCUCUUUACUUUGUGACCUGUGAAAAGAACAAUUUCCAAGGGGGUCCUGAACAACAACAAGCUUUCAGGCAGAUCAAGCAAGAGAUUGCACAUGCCGUGGCUCUUGGAGCAGUCAGGACAGGACCAGAGGUAAAGAAUGUGCUCUACUCUGCAGCUGGAGAUAAAGGUCCCUCCUGGAGCCUCUGGCCAAAGGUGCCUGGUGAGACGUGAGGGCGACCACUGGGUUUCUGGAGCCGAAGCUACAGAGGUUCUGAGGCCAAUUCCACCCCUGAGGAGAAGGAAAUCUUAGCAGCCUAUGAAGGCAUACGAGCAGCUGCAGAGCUUUCAGAUUCAGCAAUGUCCUCACUCACAACAGACCAGGGUCCCUUUCCAGAGUAAUGGAGGAGCACCAUGAUUUUUUAAUCCAAAAUUCCCGGAUUUGAAUGAAAUGCUCUGGAAAGGCUCUGGAAAUCAUUUGGUGUUCACAAUCAUCAAUGAAGAUGUUCACCAGGAAUUGCUGAUCACUGGCCUCCAGCUGGAUGUUGCACUCCUGAUCACCACCCCAGCCAGCAGAUUUCAACCAGCCUGCUGUCUGCUCAUCCAGCCCAUACUUCAUGGGCUUCUCUGUGAGGGAGCCCUGUCUGUGUCCACUAGUACACACAUUCAUUUGGAUUUUAAACAAUCAAACAGAAGUGAGAGUUUUAAGAGCAGAAUUAUUUUUAAAAGGGAAAUAGAAGGGUAUGGCUUUGAUGGAACGAGUGCCUUCAAGCUCCAUUGGCAGGCACUGUUUGAAAACUAUUUGGGUGAUUUUUGAUAAGAAAUGAAAGAUGCAACAGCAGGAA